Non-coding RNA from Paramisgurnus dabryanus, 420 nucleotides. The record is from RefSeq and is a predicted model, not a curated record. Lineage: Eukaryota; Metazoa; Chordata; Actinopteri; Cypriniformes; Cobitidae.
AUGGACCGAAAAACACAACCUAAAAUUGCUGCGUUCUUCGUACGACGAAGCAGACCUACCUCACCAUCCGUACCGCCUUCACCACCCCCACAGCCCCCACCUCCACCGGCGGAUCCCCGCAAUCCUCUAAACACCGACGUAGUGGGUGGAACCCGGAGUGGGCUAUGGACCCUAAAUAUGCAGGGUGGCUGUACCACACAGAACACAGGAUGUUUUGCAGACUGUGCAGGAUGCACCGUCAAAAGGCAUUACGUGGCCCCUCUCAAAGGCCUUUCAUAGAGGUCCCCUGCACUAACUACAGGCGUGAUGCCUUGGACUCACACUUGAGCUCAACCAAUCACAUUUCAUGUGUUGGAAUUGCAGCCCAAUCAAGCCCAAGUCUGCCCAUCAGUGAGGCAUUUCAGCCAAUUUUAAAUGUGG